RNAcentral lists this ribosomal RNA (478 nucleotides) under uncultured bacterium. Its description in RNAcentral is "partial 16S ribosomal RNA". It matches the Rfam family "Bacterial small subunit ribosomal RNA", at positions 28 to 507 of the family's 1533-position model. The record is from RNAcentral.
GAUGAACGCUGGCGGCGUGCUUAACACAUGCAAGUCGAACGAGAAGUGAAGACGGAAACCUUCGGGCGGAAGGCUUUAUUUCGAGUGGCGGACGGGUGAGUAACGCGUGGGUAACCUGCCUCAUACAGGGGGAUAACAGUUGGAAACGACUGUUAAUACCGCAUAAGACCACAGCACCGCAUGGUGCGGUGGUAAAAACUCCGGUGGUAUGAGAUGGACCCGCGUUCGAUUAGCCAGUUGGCGGGGUAACGGCCCACCAAAGCGACGAUCGAUAGCCGAUCUGAGAGGAUGACCGGCCACAUUGGGACUGAGACACGGCCCAAACUCCUACGGGAGGCAGCAGUGGGGAAUAUUGCACAAUGGGGGAAACCCUGAUGCAGCGACGCCGCGUGAGUGAAGAAGUAUUUCGGUAUGUAAAGCUCUAUCAGCAGGGAAGAAAAUGACGGUACCUGAGGAAGAAGCCCCGGCUAACUACGUG